GAUGAACGCUAGCUACAGGCUUAACACAUGCAAGUCGAGGGGCAUCAGUUUGGUUUGCUUGCAAACCAAAGCUGGCGACCGGCGCACGGGUGAGUAACACGUAUCCAACCUGCCUCAUACUCGGGGAUAGCCUUUCGAAAGAAAGAUUAAUAUCCGAUAGCAUAUAUUUCCCGCAUGGGUUUUAUAUUAAAGAAAUUCGGUAUGAGAUGGGGAUGCGUUCCAUUAGUUUGUUGGGGGGUAACGGUCCCGACCCAACGACUACGACUGGAUAGGGGUUCGUGAGAGGAAGGU
Molecule: ribosomal RNA, 291 nt
Filed under: uncultured bacterium
Lineage: Bacteria
Description: partial 16S ribosomal RNA
Rfam family: Bacterial small subunit ribosomal RNA
Source: RNAcentral